AUCAAGCUGACGAGUCUCAAAUAGGACGAAACGCGCGUCCUGGAU
Schistosoma mansoni is the source of this 45-nucleotide non-coding RNA. The record is from Rfam. NCBI's taxonomy places the organism in Eukaryota, Metazoa, Platyhelminthes, Trematoda, Strigeidida, Schistosomatidae.